GACGAACGCUGGCGGCGUGCUUAACACAUGCAAGUCGAACGGAAAGGCCCUGCUUGCAGGGUGCUCGAGUGGCGAACGGGUGAGUAACACGUGGGUGAUCUGCCCCUUACUUUUGGAUAAGCCUGGGAAACUGGGUCUAAUACUGGAUAGGACCAUGCUGUAGGUGGUGUGGUGGAAAGAUUAGUUUCGGUAAGGGAUGAGCUCGCGGCCUAUCAGCUUGUUGGUGGGGUAAUGGCCUACCAAGGCGUCGACGGGUAGCCGGCCUGAGAGGGUGGACGGCAACAUUGGGACUGAGAUACGACCCAGACUCCUGCGGGAGGCAGCAGUGGGGAAUAGUGCACAAUGGGCGCAAGCCGGAUGCAGCGACGGCGCGUGGGGGAUGACGGCCUUCGGGUUGUAAACUCCUUUCAGCCAUGACGAAGCCCUUGUGGUGACGGUAGUGGUAGAAGAAGCACCGGCUAACUACGUG
RNAcentral lists this ribosomal RNA (469 nucleotides) under uncultured bacterium. Its description in RNAcentral is "partial 16S ribosomal RNA". It matches the Rfam family "Bacterial small subunit ribosomal RNA", at positions 28 to 507 of the family's 1533-position model. The record is from RNAcentral.